This is a long non-coding RNA of Alosa sapidissima (American shad), 233 nucleotides long. RefSeq lists it as uncharacterized. NCBI's taxonomy places the organism in Eukaryota, Metazoa, Chordata, Actinopteri, Clupeiformes, Clupeidae. The record is from RefSeq and is a predicted model, not a curated record. The transcript is spliced from 3 exons.
AGCCUGUGGUUGGACUAGGAAGCAGGCCAACUUUUCAAGAUUGAUCAUGGAGAUGACUGAGGCAUAAGGACAGCCUGAAUAUUGAUGGGAACAGUGAAAUUAACAUUACUUAAACUUUGUCUGGGAUUGCAUUUCUACAGCCAGGUCGUUGAUAUAAAUAAAAGAUAAUGACACUUCUGUGGAAAGCUUUUUUUUAAGAGAUAUUUUAUUCCAUCCUUUCUCAUCUUACUAAA